AAUCAACGCUGGCGGCGUGCCUAACACAUGCAAGUCGCGCGCGAAAGGGGGGCAACUCCCGAGUAAAGCGGCGAACGGGUGAGUAACACGUGGGUAAUCUACCUUCGAGUGGGAACGAACACCGGGAAACUGGUGCUAAUUCCGCAUGACAUCGUCGGGGCGUUCGGUUCUGACGCUCAAAGCUGGGGAUCGCAAGACCUAGCGCUUGAAGAUGAGCCCGCGUCCGAUUAGCUAGUGGGCGGGGUAAUGGCCCACCAAGGCUUCGAUCGGUAGCCGGCCUGAGAGGGCGGACGGCCACACUGGAACUGAGACACGGUCCAGACUCCUACGGGAGGCAGCAGU
This 342-nucleotide ribosomal RNA is filed under the name uncultured bacterium. RNAcentral describes it as "bacterial SSU rRNA". It matches the Rfam family "Bacterial small subunit ribosomal RNA", at positions 32 to 355 of the family's 1533-position model. The record is from RNAcentral.